This 469-nucleotide ribosomal RNA is filed under the name uncultured bacterium. RNAcentral describes it as "bacterial SSU rRNA". It matches the Rfam family "Bacterial small subunit ribosomal RNA", at positions 355 to 822 of the family's 1533-position model. The record is from RNAcentral.
UGGGGAAUUUUGGACAAUGGGCGCAAGCCUGAUCCAGCCAUGCCGCGUGUGGGAAGAAGGCCUUCGGGUUGUAAACCACUUUUGUCAGGGAAGAAACGGCUCUUACUAAUAUUAGGAGCUAAUGACGGUACCUGAAGAAUAAGCACCGGCUAACUACGUGCCAGCAGCCGCGGUAAUACGUAGGGUGCAAGCGUUAAUCGGAAUUACUGGGCGUAAAGCGUGCGCAGGCGGCUUUGCAAGACAGAUGUGAAAUCCCCGGGCUCAACCUGGGAACUGCAUUUGUGACUGCAAGGCUAGAGUACGGUANAGGGGGAUGGAAUUCCGCGUGUAGCAGUGAAAUGCGUAGAUAUGUGGAGGAAUACCGAUGGCGAAGGCAGCCCCCUGGGAUAACACUGACGCUCAUGCACGAAAGCGUGGGGAGCAAACAGGAUUAGAUACCCACGUAGUCCCUGAGCGGGCUGGCAAGGCG